This 392-nucleotide ribosomal RNA is filed under the name uncultured bacterium. RNAcentral describes it as "partial 16S ribosomal RNA". It matches the Rfam family "Bacterial small subunit ribosomal RNA", at positions 523 to 918 of the family's 1533-position model. The record is from RNAcentral.
AUACGUAGGGGGCGAGCGUUGUCCGGAUUUACUGGGCGUAAAGGGUGAGUAGGCGGUUGUAUAUGUCAGGGGUAAAAGGCUAUGGCUUAACCAUAGUUCGCACUUGAAACUGGAUAACUUGAGUGCAGGAGAGGUAAGCGGAAUUCCUAGUGUAGCGGUGAAAUGCGUAGAUAUUAGGAGGAACACCAGUGGCGAAGGCGGCUUACUGGACUGUAACUGACGCUGAGUCACGAAAGCGUGGGUAGCAAACAGGAUUAGAUACCCUGGUAGUCCACGCUGUAAACGAUGAGUGCUAGGUGUUGGGUAGCGAUACUCAGUGCCGUAGUAAACACAAUAAGCACUCCGCCUGGGGAGUACGUACGCAAGUAUGAAACUCAAAGGAAUUGACGGGG